RNAcentral lists this long non-coding RNA (12040 nucleotides) under Homo sapiens (human). Its description in RNAcentral is "HSALNT0047134". The record is from RNAcentral. Lineage: Eukaryota; Metazoa; Chordata; Mammalia; Primates; Hominidae.
UUUUUAGUAAAAGGAAUUCCAUCAGUUCAUUUGGAGUCUGAUCAAUGCUGGGCGAACAGAUUAAAUUCUCUUUAGAGUAGCAAAUCUUAGGACUAUAAGCUGAAGUAGAACUAGAAAGUCCAGCCAUACCUAAGUCCAAGCUAGCCACUCUGGUCCUUUUCUCUGUUGUAUUCCAUUAAAGACCCUGAUAUCUGGGACUAGAGUUCCUGAGCACUCUAUACCCAUGACCUGGUCUGGAAGCAGCUCUUCUUAGCUGUCCUAUCAUGCCACAGUAACUCCGGGUCUCUGAGACAAGUGUCCUGAAACUCUUGAGUUCUCACAUGCCCUUUCAUCUUUCCCUCUUUUUUGAUCAAUCCAACCAAUUCAUGGCUUCCUGUUGAAUGUUAUUUUAUAAUAAUAUGGUUUAUGUUAUUAACACUCUUUAAUGUUAUUCAAGCCCAUCUUCUAUCAUGUCAUUGCUUAAAAAGCCUCAACAGUUCCUUAGGGUCAAGCCCACUGUGUGUGAGCUUCUUAACUGGGCAUUUAGAAUCCUCUCCAAUAUCCUCCACUACCUAUGAUUUAUAUUUUAGCCAAAAUGGACCCUUUAUAAUCUUGAACUUCAUUGCAUGUCUGCACUUCUAUACCAGUGCUGAAUCCCAAACUGAAAUCUGGUUCAUAUUUCAUGAAACAGCUGGUUUUUACACCCACAUCUUGAAAUCUCUUUCUAUUCCCUCACCUAGAUACAAACUCUUCAAGGGGCCAGUAGAGUAUAGUGGCUAAAAUCUUGGAUUCUAAAACCCAGCUGUCAAGGUUCAAAUCCCAGCCACACCAUGUGCUGACUGUGAGAUCAUAUACAAGUCUCUUUUCACUUCACAUCUGUUUCCUUAUCUGGAAAAUCAAGAAUAUUAAUCAGAUAUUAAAUGAGAUAAUAUACAUUUAAUCUAGUCCGUGGAACCCUGUAAGCAUGCAGCAACUGCGAGCUAUUAUGGCAGAUGCUGUUGCUAGCCCACCCACAUCCUCUUGGUAUUUGUCUCUACAUUCUCAACCUGUUUAUAGAAAACAUUCGUGACUCUCUGUAGUCAAGAUAGCAUGCUCAGCUCUCAUACAGGGCAGAGCAGAAGUUUCUGAGAUGUAAUCAGUCUCCCAAGAAGCGACACUCAGACAAUGACCAAUGGAGAGUCAGUGGAUGAAUACCCCUUGUUAGGAAUAACUCUGAACCCUAUUCUAGAGUGUGGACAGCAUAGAAUCUCUUAUUGUCUCCCAGACUUCCCCAGCAGGCUGUAACAUCAGUUGCCCGCAAUGGUAAUUGGCUUGGCAGAUACCUUCUGUCAGCUCCUUUGCCUUCCCUAACUUACUCUCCACUCUCUUUUAUGUAUUUCCUGGGAUCGUUUCCCAAAACUACUUGGAUUCUUGUCUCCGGGUUGGCUUCUGGAGGACUCUAAAACCAUAACUGCUCUUAUCACUACAGCUGACUUCUUUGAAACCAUGAAAAUACUGCUUUAUUUGCAUUCGUCUUCUGCUAGUUAGAGUCUACCUUCAUAAAACCUAAAAUCCAACAAAAAAUUAAGACCAAAAUACAAAUAUUUCUCACAGUACCUCUCACAUAGAAGUUACUCAAUCUGUAUUUAGAGAGCAAAGAAUAAUGGGAGAUCAAAAGAUUACUCUGUGACUAUAAAAAUAGAGCGAGGACUAUUGAUUGGUUACUAAGAAUAUUUUACAAACUUUUAUGGUUUGACACACCCUUUUAAUGGUGGUAUGUCUACCUAAUAUAUCUGCACCUUCCCAAAAUCCCCUCCCCUCGAUGUCAGCAUCAGGACUCCCCUCCUCCUCUAGCUAGAUUUGAGAGACACUUGCCAUUAUCUCAUCAUUAUUUUAUCAUGUUAAUGUACUUGUGUAACCUUUUAUAUUUUCUAAAUAUGAAAAAUAUUUUACAGAGAUUACAUUUGACGCAGCUGCUUCCUGAAGACCUAGAGAUCACUUUAAUCUUACAAGCACAUUCUUCAGAUUGUCGUGUGGGUGGGUAACUUCCGCCAGACUUUUCUGGAGAUGGCUAAUCCAGCCGUGGGAUGUGGUUUCUUCUAACAGCCAGUCAGGAAAAUCUUGCUUCUCAAACUCCUGUCUUGACCCCUUCCUGAACUUUGCCUCCUGGAUCUUGAGGUCUGCCUUCUGUGGAAGAGAAAUACUAGAAUCAAUGAACUGUGAACUAGAGCCCUGGGAUUAUCAACAGCUGAAAUUUUGAGAGCCACCUUAUAGAAAGCCUAACAGCAAAGACUGGAGAGAGGCUUCCAGCCAACAGCCAGCAAGGAAUUGAAGCCCUCAGUCCAAUAGCAGUGAGGAAUUGAAUCCUGCCAACAGCCUCGUGGAUGGGUUGCUUGCUGCCUGAAUCUAACUCCUGCUACUACUGCAAAUACCACUGCCAUGAAUAUCCUCAGCAAGACCCCCUUCCAGACCUGCAUGAACAACCGACUGCUUCAUGCUGGGCUUCAGACAUGAGAGGCUAGGAGUAGGAGGCAUGCCUUGUUCAAAGGUCUUAAAUGUGGGAAAUAGUCUACAGUUUGGAAGACACCAGAGAAAAAUGCUCCACAGCUCGCCCUGGUGACUCACUACAACUUAUGGGAAGAUGUGAGAUUAUUCUGUAUUCUAAUGUAUGUUAGAAGGCACACUCCACCCAAAGCCUUCCUGUGUGUUCCUCCCUGUGAGCUCACAUCCCGUUCACCAGCUGACUGGGAAGGGAAGUCAGGACCAGCCCUGACCCCAUCACACCAUCAUAACCUCGGGAUGGCAGGGCUGGAAGGCACCUCAGACGUCAUCCUUUGCAGACUCUUCAUUUUACAGUGAGAGGCAUGACGUGUCCACAGCUGGUUAGUGCCAAAGCCUGGGACAGGCUUCACAUUGUCCAGCUCUUAGUCAGAGCACUGUUGACAAUGUCUGCCUUCACUUGGAAUUCAGCACCUGCUUUCAGUAUAAACCCCUGCAUUUCACUAAAACUGAGCAGACUGCUGGUUUAAAAAAGAGAGGUCCAUCCAGCAGGGAUGAUGCUUUUCCUCGUUGAAAGAGGACAUUCACCUAAUGGGAGACCUGGAGUCAGAAUCUUUCUGAUGUGUGACUUGGCACAGUAACACAAUGCAGGAUGCUGGUGUGUUAAUAAAAAUAAAAAUUGCAUCGCCUACCUCAGAGUCGACAACAAUGUCAAGGAGUUAAUAGUCUUGGCAACACAGAGGCCACUGGACAGAGGCAUAACCUUGCGUGGCAGCUGCACGGGAAUUGGAUUUGGCUCAGGUGUUUCAGAUGACUAAGUUGGGAGCAUUUGACAAUUUUAGAUGUGGGAUGAAAAUUGCCUUAUCUAAGACAUAGGGCACCUGCAGAAGUAAAGAGAAACAGAACAAAGGGGACCACUCUUGGUAUAGAAGUUCAUCUCGUCGGGAGCAUCUGUGGUUCUUUUAUAAGCAAUGUACAUUCUACAAUAGAGGCAGACCCAGAAAUAAUUCAGAUAUUGGAGUUAGAAGAUCAGGAUUCUAAAAAAACCAAAAGAUCCUGCCUUACUAUGCACCUAUGGCCCUUCAAAGGCGAGAGUAGAAUCUGCUAUGAUUUAGAAGCAAGCAAUAAAAAGUACACAUCAGGUGAGUGGAUGCUAGCUAAGACCUUGGGCUUUGGGGUCAGACAGGCCUGGGUUUAAAUCCUGGCCCUGUCAUUCUGGGGAAACAUGUUUCUGCUUUCUCCUAUAUGAAAUAGAGGCAGUGGGUAUCCUGAACAUGUCACCUUUACUUGUCCAGCUUGUCAGUUAGGGUUUGGUUAGGGAAACAGAGCUGCUGUAAACAUUAUGGGAAUAAGGGAUUUUAUUCAGAAUUGGAGCCUGCACAGAUGUAGAAGGAGGCAUGAAGAGGGUAUUGGAGGAUUGCCCACUAUGCAGUCUGCAUCCUGAGUCUGUGGUGAGGCUGGACACGUUCAAGCUUACAGGAGAACUGGAGAAAGCAAGCAACACAGCGGUGGAAGUGAGACCACUGAAGCAGGGACAAGAGUGGAGGAGACAAACUGGACUCGGAACAAACUGGGAGCCUCUGCAUCCAUCCGUAACUGUCUGGCCGUGACAGUGGUUAGAGAGGAGUGGCUUCUGUGAAACUCUCACAAUCUCAAAUCUCCCACAAGUGCCUCUUUCAGCUAACUCUAAACUGGUACCAUAGAGGAAAUGGAUUCUGAAAACUUGGUCUCCAACCUUAGACAAAUUGAAUAAUUAAUAUGUCCUCUCCUGCUUCUUCUGUAACUGAAUUUGCAUUGGGAAGCAGGCCUGUCACUCUCAGACUUUGUGGUUUGAGUAGGGCUCACUUCAGCACCACCUUUUCCUCUUCUCAGCCCCACGGACUGGCAUGAGACUCAGGCCUGGCCAACUGAAUGUCACACACCUAUGACCAUCAGUUGGCUCAGAGAUGGACUCAGGACACCAUCACAGCCAAUGAAACCCUGUUAGGGAAAUUUGUCAGAACCAUACAAAGAAAUAGCUCCACUUUUCCAUAGAGAUGAGACAUAAGCCUGGACUAACUGGUGUCCAAUUUGCCAUCAAGAGAGCAUCUGAGAAGACAGAGGAAAACUGGGGAAAGCGAAGUCUAAGGAAGGUGAGUAAGGACAAGUCCAGUUGAUAUUACAUGAAUCACCUGGACCUGGAAAUCAAGGCAUUGCUGGAUUCAAGGCCAAGAAAAAUUGGAAGCUGGCUUGAAUCAGGUUCUAUCACUUGCAGUUGAAAAGGUCCAGACUAAUAUGAUAACAAAGGAGCAAGUAAGCAAGAUUCUGCCCUACAGUAAGUGCUCAAUGCAUGUCAGCUGGUAUUAUUAUUAUACAGACUUCUAUUUCUAGCCCUUUUAUUUCUACCACCUCUCUUCUGUGUUUUAUGUAAAGUGCAUAAGGAUUGUUCUGUUUGGAAACAUCAAACCAUAUAAAAUGACACCAGCAGGUCCCUUUCUGUCUGUCAGUGUCCACAAGCUCAACAACCAGGAUCAGCAGACAAAAACAGCUAAGCUGGAGUCAGUGUUUUUAUGAAGAAACAGGAAAAGAACUUACUUGGGAACUGUAGCUCAUCCUCCAAUAUUCUCCAUCCUAUCACUCUUUUCAUGACAGUUUCUUCUUGGCCCUGAAGUUGCCUUGUCAUGGCUCCCUGCCUCUGUCCUUUCUCUGUCUCACUUACAUCUUCCAAUGAGGAAUACAGCAAGACCUUUGGAUGAGGACCUCCAAAGGUCCUCAGUAUCCUUAGGACACUCGGUGCAGAACUAGAGGGACUGAGAGGAGGAGCUUUUGCAGGUUAAAUGACUAGUGAAUGGCCUUUCCUUAUAUUUCCAUUAGAAAUGGGAUUAGCUACACCUGAGAAGGAAUGACUUUGGAACAACUGAUCCCUAGCUUUCCAAAAUAUGAGAAAUUGAGAUGCAGGGAGUAGUAAGCACCUAGUUAAUGAGUCAAAGCAUAUUUAUAAAGUUCACAGGGUACAUAGCAUAUAGCAGCUGUUCUCUAUCUCAGUUGAGUUUUGACUAGGAAAUGGGCUUAGGAUAAAACACAUAGGCUUUUGAGUAAUCAUUUGUAAGAAAUUGUAGAUAGUGACCACAGUUUAAUAGCAUUAGAUAAAUUAUGAAAAGUCACUGAAAUACCUUCUCUGGAAAAUGUUAGAAGCUCAAGUACAAUGGCUUAGUUAAAGGCAGGUGGGGGAGAAACUUGAAGAAUGUGGUCCAGUACAAGAAUACCCCAUUUUUCCCCUAAGGCAAUGAAAAUGACAUGAAGUAAUCAUAGUUAUUUAUACAGGAACAAUUUAGGAGACUUAGAAUAUUCACUUCUUUUGCCUUCUAGCUGAGCAUCAAAAUUCUCUCUCUGUCUCUGCCUCUCUCUCUCUAUUUUCCACUUCUAGCUCCAACUAUUUUAAAUCCCUCCCCCAAUAGAACUCAUAACAAACAUAAAACAACAUUUGUUGUAUGUUUACAAUAGAUGUUCAAGCUAAUAUUUAUGUAGGCUUAGCCCUGGCAUUAAAUUAAGGUUUGGUUCACCAACAGGGUGCCUAGAGACUUCACCUCUAUUUCCAUGAGGGACUGAACAGCCUCUUGAGAAGGGACUCAUCAAAAUGGAAGAGUUGGCAAUAAGAAGUUUGGCUAAAUAACCAAGCACUGAAGUUGCAGAGGAGAAAGGAUUUGAAAGGCAGUACAGUGUCCAGGGGCAAGUUGGCAAUUUUUAGCAGGAGGUGAAGUGAUGCCAGCAGAGGUAACAGUGCUCAGAGGGACCAGUAGUCCCCAGGAGGAGCAGGGGAAUCCCCAGUGGAUCUGAUUUGUUCAAGAGCACAUGUGAGAUUAUCAGCUGGCGUUACAAUUUUGGAGUGGCAGUGAGAAGCAGUGAAUUUGAGGUCACUCAAUUUGCAGACCCCAAAGGGUGAAAUGUUGAGAAACAUGAGUUACACAUGUAUUUAACAGCUCUUGUGUAUUAUCACAAAUCCUAUUUCACCUCUCAUGCCCCCGAGGCUUUGGUGUCCAGUUCUCUGAAGACUUCAUCAAUCCUCAGCCAUAAAUCACCUGAGAGCAACUCACCUUGCUUCAUACUAUGAAGCUCCCUGAUGUCACAGCAUGGCAGGCCUGUGGCAACCCCUCAACACUUAUGCAUGAUCCCAAACAGCUAGAGGAUUAACACCUACGGUGUAACCCUUGACCAGCAGGAAAUGGAAAUUACUGUCUUUUUGUCCCCGCAGGUGAAUGGUUCUAAAAUGCAUUUUAUAAGCCUUCUGAAAUAGUCCCACAGGUCAAGCACCUACUUGCUCCAGUGGUGACCAACUCAAUGAUGCAUCCUUGGGUUGACUCUCCCUCCUUUCCAGUUCACUUUCCCCGCCCCUCACUCCUGCACCUCAGCAUCACAUUCCUGAAUAAACCACUCACACAUCUGUCUUAUUUCAGACUCUGUUUGGGGGAAUCCACAAUAAAAAUUUGUCAUUUUGAGUUAAACAUUGCUCUCACCUUGAAGACAUAUUUCCAUACCUAGAGAUUUCUGAAGUUCUCUCCCUUUUCCUAUCAUCUCCUUUGUGCUUUGUCUGACCUCCAUGUUACAGAGCCCCAUGAUAUUUAGAGCCAGUACUGCUAGGGAAGUAGUUCAGUUGUGUUUUAAAUGGUUCAGCAACUUGUAACAUCAACUGAGAACCAGAGGAAUACACUUGGAGGCCAAGAAAAAAAUGUUAGCUAAUAUGUACCAUACAGUAUGAUUCCUUGGGUAAGGGAAAGUAUAUGCAAGUGACAGAGGAAAAUUGAAAGUUGUAGCCCUUUUUUGGACUUUAGAUUUGGAAUUAAAGUUUCUCUUCUCUUGAAAGACCUUCUUUUUGUGGAUAAUGAUGAAUCUGAAGACCAGAACAGUGGGCCAAUUUGCCUUAGUUGAGAGUGGCAAAUAAAUGAAGAACUGAAGAACGUAUCUCUUUAACUAGUGCUCCUUUGUUGAGAAGAUACAAAACAAACAAUUGAAGGGUAUGGAUGAAGCCAUUGGCUUAUUCAUGUCUCUGUUGAUCAUAAUGAGAUUAAUAUAUAUAGGACAUUCACACAAAGAGGAUAUUGACUCGAUGGCUUACAGAUUAUUAGAGUUAGAAAUGUGACCUACUACUAAAGGAAGAAUGUUUCAGGUGUGGAUCUCUGAUUUAAAAAAUACACCACACUUGCCUCAGUGAAGCAAGUCAACUUAGGUGCUGAUACAAUGCCACUGCAGCUGUGCUGAGUUCAUGAAAUCAGAUCCCACUCUCUUCACCUACCCCUACCGUAUUCAUCCUACUUUCCGUCUGCUCUGCCCUUCCCAUUUGGUAACCUAGUCAUGAAACACCUGGCUCUGGGUCCUUCCUUCAGCAUCACUCCACGUUGUACUGCUGGCAUCGCUUUUCUUGGCACAGAACCUCUUAGGGCUGCUAUCCUAGGAGUAGGUGCUACUCAGGCUGGCUUAGUCCCAGGCUUCACUCACUUCUUGGCCCAUGGCCAGGAGGACCGGAAAGAACAAACUCUCUGCACAUCUCUGCAGGUGGCCACAGAGCCCCCAUCUGAGCCUUGCUGAUGGAGAAGAGCAUGCUGCAUCACAAGAUAACUGUGUGGCUCUGUUCAAAAACCUUGUUUAGAAGUUAUUAUUUCUUUUAUUGCAUUAGAAUUUGCCUCACUGUAGCUUUUGUGCUUCUGUCCUGGUUCAGCCUUAGAUAGCAGUGCAGCCUGGUCCAUGUGAAAGCUCUUGCAAUAGGCCUUUCUGCUAGUCAGGAGUUCUCAGACCCAUCCCUACUCUUCACUUUUCUCAAGACUAAUAUCAGACUCCUGGGCUCUUCAAGGUUUCCUCAUAUGAUAAAAGUUCUAAGCCCUCCAUUGUCCUAGUCACUGUCCUCUCUGUUCCAUCCCUGUCUGCCCUUCCAAGAUGCUGCACCUGGAGAUGAAUUUGUCCUUCCUGGGGCAAGUCACCAUGAGAUGAUUACUUUUGGAUCAUACUGAAUUUGUGGGUUAAAUAAACUCAUAGGUCUUUAUCUCAUGCACUAAAUCCAAAUUCGAUCUCUUGCCGUAAAUCAUUUUUUUGAAUAGCUGAACAAUAAGUAAAUAAUACACAAAUGAAAACUAAUCAAUAUUUGAACAUCCUCAGUAUUUUCAGCCCUAGUUUGAGCCAGACAUAGCUCAUCUUGUAUACUUCACUAAGGACACUUUAUACGAUCAAGCAAUUAAUAUUAUGAUGUCAUGUCUCGCAAGCCCCAUAGUGUCACUUCCAGUCUCUUCACCACAAAGAACGUUGAAGCCUUCGUAUUUUUUUGAAAAUCAUAUUUCUAGCUGCAGGAUGGGAUGUAAGAAAAGUUCAGAUUAGGAUUAUUCUAGGCUCCUGACUAUAACUAAAAUCCUGAUUUUUUAUGGAAAGGAAUGAGGAUCAUUCCUUCAAAUUAGAUUUUUGUGAUAAAAAGAAAAAAGUUGGUAAUCUAUUCAAAAUUGUAACAAAAAUAACUGCAUUUUUCUUUGGAAAAUAAUAGUUGAUUCCUUUUUGCUUUUUUUACUUAUGAAUUGGGGUGCAAUAGAGUUUAAUAAAAAUGAUGUGAAACACUCUUAUAAGGCUAAUUUAUCACAUUUGCUUCAAGGAAUUGUCCUUUCUAACAAAAUUGUGAAAUGGAACUGAACAGUAGCAUGAUGAGGCCUCUACCAGGAGGAGGUACAGAACAAGGCAGGAGGUCAGUGGUUAAAGGACUCCUUGCUUAUGCUCAAGAAAUGUGGACCUUAUUAGAGGUGACACAGUGAAAUCAGUCACCUGAUUUCGCAGGUGACUGUGGAGCAAGAAUGCAAAUCCACAAUAUUAGGAUGAAUGUGAGAGGAGAAGGGAAGGAGGCCAUGAGGGAAAAAAGGACAUCUAAUUGGGUCUGAAAGGAAGGGUAGAAUUUAAGUAAAGAGCACUGUGUACAUAUGGGAAUACCAUGUACUUUCUCAUGGAGAGAGGCCUUCUGACAGUCCUGCAUUGAUCCUGCUUCUUUGACCAUCCCUUGUUAGCCAGCAGGUCAUUUGGCCUCACUAGUUGCCUCAGUGCUGAGUGAUAGACUCAGCAGUCCCCAGCCUCUUUGGCACCAGGGACUGGUUUUGUGGAAGAUAAUUUUUCCAUGGAUCAGGGAGAGGAUGGUUUCAGGAGGAUUUAAGUGCAUUACAUUUACUGCGCACUUUAUUUCUAAUAUUAUUACAUUGUAAUCUAUAAUGAAAUAAUUAUACAAUUCACCAUAAUGUAGAAUCAGUGGGUGCCCUGAGCUUGUUUUCCUGCAACUAGAUGGUCCCAUCUGGGGGUGAUGGGAGACAGUGACAGAUCAUCAGGCAUUAGAUUCUCAUAAGGAAUGCACAACCUAGAUUCUUCACAUGUGCAGUUCACCAUGAGGUUCACGCUCCUAUGAGAAGCUAAUGCCUCCGCUUAAACGACACAGGAGAUGGAGCUCAGGUAGUAAUGAGUGAAAUGGGGAGCAGCUGUCAAUACAGAUGAAGCUUUGCUUGCUUGCUUGCCGCUCACCACCUGCUGUGCAGCCUGGUUCCUAACUGGUACUGGUCAGUGGCCUGUGGUUGGGAACUCCUGGUAGACUAACAACAGAACAAAGCCAAGUCUCAAGGAGAGACAGUUGUAUAGAUGCCUUCCUGCCCAUUCUCUGUUGUGGGGGCCAAAUCACACAAGACCUGCAUUUAAUUCUUUAUGGGCUUAGGCUGUGAAUUAAUGUAAAAUCUCAAGAAACCAAGAUGACAGGCCAGGGACUAAAGAGCAAAAGAAAGACCACAGCUAUGGUGGGCGAGGAGACAAAGUCAAUCCCACCGGGACAGAUGGUGAUGACCCUUAUCAGUUCUAUUCUGUCAUCUCAUAAAGGUAAAGACUUGUGUUCUUUUUCUUAGGACAGUCCAGAUGGUAUUGGCUGUGCUUAAAGAAAAUUCAGACAUGUGUGAGUGUGGCUGGAAUUGACAUUCAUGAGGUCUUCCGUUUUUAUUUGAAAGGGGCAGAGUAAGUAUUUGUGAACAUUGGAUGGUGAUGAAGAAAAGGAAAUGGUGUCUAGUAUCCUACCUGGCCUCAUGGACCAAGACUAGAAGGAUUAGAGGCAAAGUCGAAGGAAGCUGCCACCAUAAAGGGUUCUGUGAAUGCUGUUUGGCUGAAAUGUGUGACAAAGCACUGGGAAGGGUUUCAUUGCAUUAGCUCAGGCCAUAGCACGACCCUUAACCAACACCUUAAGGUGAUGGUCCCCUUGGCAUAAAUAUUGGUGUUAAAAUCGAGGUUAACCUUAGUGAUAGUAUGGUUAAGAGUCCCCUGCAUGACUUUGGAAGUUGAAGAUGCUGAUCAGGAGAACUAGAGCAGGAAAGAGAAAAUAUGACUGAGGCUAAGUGGUGACUUGGUAUUGACUGAUAGGUGAACACAGGAAUGAAUUUCAGCGAGAACCCCCAGUAACUGUCUGGGGAGUGGAGACUGUGUAUGAACAGGACAGAAAAAAAAGCAGAUUCGGGUAGUGUCCUGUCGUGUGUCUCUUUUACAGUCCUGAAAUGAAGGACUUUCAGUGUUUUCAUUGAGCACCAAUCAAUUCCCUCUUUACAAAAGACCAUAUUGGAACAGCAUCAAGGUUUAGGGAUAUUAAAGCAAUACAGUGACACUGGAAUGACCACUGAGAACCAGCGAACUUCUUCAGCCCUUAUAUCCUCAGGCACUCUGGAAGCCAUGAAUCUGGUUUUCUUGCUAAACUGUGUGUACUGCACAGAGUACAAUGGUAAAGGAACAAAUAUUGGCUCUAAAAUCUCUUGUAAAGGGAAGGGUGGUCAUCCCUUUAGAUGGCAAAUUGAGUUUCUGUAAUGGGGUUUGCUCUGAUGUUGCAUUUCCACUCAGGCAUCAAGACAUUCUGUUGUUUAAAGCCCUAGAUGGGUGAUAUUUCUUUCAUGUGCAAGGCCCGAAUGCUUCACUGAGCUCUCUCUUACCCACACACACUCAUUUAAACCUUGGUCAAAAUUAUCCUUUAGCAUCUGCAUCUUCUCAGAAGGCGGAAGGGUCAAUGGGGAUAAUCAGGAGAGAUGAGGUGCACUUUCAGAAGUUGGAGCUGAGAAGGUGAUGGAAGUAUCUGUAAAGUCGUUGAACAGCUGCACGAACUAUAGGGGAAGCAUUUCUGGAGGCAAAAGGGGAAUAGCCCUUUCCUCUUAAACCAAAGCGAGCACAGCUCCAAAGGCACUUAGAUGGAGAGUUCAUCGGAAUGUGAGCUCUAAGAGUGGCUGAGAAUCUGACAAAAACAGCCAUCUGCCAACCCAAAAUUAAAACUCCUCUGUUUAGCACCCAGUAGAGAAAGUCAACCAGAUUGACUUCGCAAACAAAGGACCUUAAAAGCAUCACCUAAGAAAGUGUGUCAGGAUCCACAGACAUCCAGAGCAUUCUCUAUGGUUCAUUACUUACAUUAUUCUUAUCUAUUUACACAUAAUGUUUAGAUGUAAAAUCCUUACAAUGAAAAGGGUGUAUAUGCUUUAAAAAAGGCACAACAGGGAUCUAGAACUAGAAAUACCAUUUGACCCAGCCAUCCCAUUACUGGGUAUAUACCCAAAUGAGUAUAAAUCAUGCUGCUAUAAAG